Molecule: non-coding RNA, 254 nt
Organism: Cyanistes caeruleus (blue tit)
Lineage: Eukaryota; Metazoa; Chordata; Aves; Passeriformes; Paridae
Source: RefSeq, a predicted model, not a curated record
UUGGGGUGCUGAUCCCCUGGGGAAGAUGGUGCCCGUGGACGAGUUCCUGCCCCUCAUGUUCGACAGACACCCCAGCCCCGAGUACUCCCGCUACUUUUCCCGGCGGGAUCUGGAGGCGUUUUCGGCGGAGCCGCUGCUGCUGUUCCCCACUCACUACACGGGGGAGCCCGGCUACGUCAGCGACACCGAGACGGCCCCGGCGCCGCCGCGCGACGAGCUCUGACCCCAAUAAAACUCACACUUGGAUUUUUAAA